RNAcentral lists this ribosomal RNA (382 nucleotides) under uncultured eukaryote. RNAcentral describes it as "partial 18S ribosomal RNA". It matches the Rfam family "Eukaryotic small subunit ribosomal RNA", at positions 592 to 976 of the family's 1831-position model. The record is from RNAcentral.
UGUAAGCGUAUACCAAAGUUGUUGCAGUUAAAACGCUCGUAGUCGGAAUUUGGCAGUUCCGGAUGUGUGCACGUCGUGUGCGCACUUCGCGGGGAUUGCUUUUGUGGUCUUGCGUAGGAUGAGGCACUUUUAUUAGUGAACGUCCUCACGCAACCACUUUUUACUGUGAGAAAAUCAGAGUGCUCAAAGCAGGCAUUUGCCGUGAAUGUAUUAGCAUGGAAUAAUAGAAUAGGACUUGGUUCUAUUUUGUUGGUUUGUUGGGACUGAGUAAUGGUUAAGAGGGACAGUUGGGGGCAUUUGUAUUUCGGUGCUAGAGGUGAAAUUCUUAGAUUACCGAAAGACAAACUGCUGCGAAAGCGUCUGCCAAGGAUGUUUUCAUUGA